CCUACGGGAGGCAGCAGUAGGGAAUUUUGCGCAAUGGACGAAAGUCUGACGCAGCAACACCGUGUGAGGGAUGAAGCAUUUCGGUGUGUAAACCUCUGUCGAUGAUGAAUAAAGCGUGUGGGAGUGGAAAGCCCAUGCGUUGAAGGUAAUCAUGAAGGAAGCACCGGCUAACUCUGUGCCAGCAGCCGCGGUAAUACAGGGGGUGCAAGCGUUGUUCGGAAUCACUGGGCGUAAAGGGAGCGUAGGCGGAACUACAAGACAGGGGUUAAAGAUCCGGGCUCAACCUGGAGGAUGCCUUUGUGACUGUGGUUCUUGAGUAUGGUAGAGGUCGGCGGAAUUUCCGGUGUAGCGGUGGAAUGCGUAGAGAUCGGAAAGAACACCAGAGGCGAAGGCGGCCGACUGGACCAAUACUGACGCUGAGGCUCGAAAGCGUGGGGAGCAAACAGGAUUAGAUACCCUGGUAGUCCACGCUGUAAACGAUGAACACUAGAUGUCGGGAGAGGUUUCUUCCGGUGUCGUCGCUAACGCAGUAAGUGUUCCGCCUGGGGAGUACGCUCGAACAAGGGUGAAACUCAAAUGAAUUGACGG
Molecule: ribosomal RNA, 588 nt
Filed under: uncultured bacterium
Lineage: Bacteria
Description: bacterial SSU rRNA
Rfam family: Bacterial small subunit ribosomal RNA
Source: RNAcentral